Molecule: ribosomal RNA, 451 nt
Filed under: uncultured bacterium
Lineage: Bacteria
Description: bacterial SSU rRNA
Rfam family: Bacterial small subunit ribosomal RNA
Source: RNAcentral
CUACCAUGCAGUCGACGGGCAUCUUCGGAUGUCAGUGGCAGACGGGUGAGUAACACGUGGGAACGUACCCUUCGGUUCGGAAUAACUCAGGGAAACUUGAGCUAAUACCGGAUACGCCCUUUUGGGGAAAGGUUUACUGCCGAAGGAUCGGCCCGCGUCUGAUUAGCUUGUUGGUGGGGUAACGGCCUACCAAGGCGACGAUCAGUAGCUGGUCUGAGAGGAUGAUCAGCCACACUGGGACUGAGACACGGCCCAGACUCCUACGGGAGGCAGCAGUGGGGAAUAUUGGACAAUGGGCGCAAGCCUGAUCCAGCCAUGCCGCGUGAGUGAUCAAGGCCUUAGGGUUGUAAAGCUCUUUUGUCCGGGACGAUAAUGACUGUACCGGAAAAAUAAACCCCGGCUAACUUCGUGCCAUCAUCCUCGGUAAUACGAAGGGGGCUAGCGUUGCUCA